UGCAGUCGAACGAUGAUGCCGAGCUUGCUCCUGGAUUAGUGGCGAACGGGUGAGUAACACGUGAGUAACCUGCCCUUAACUCUGGGAUAAGCCUGGGAAACUGGGUCUAAUACCGGAUAUGACUCCUCAUCGCAUGGUGGGGGGUGGAAAGCUUUUUGUGGUUUUGGAUGGACUCGCGGCCUAUCAGCUUGUUGGUGAGGUAAUGGCUUACCAAGGCGACGACGGGUAGCCGGCCUGAGAGGGUGACCGGCCACACUGGGACUGAGACACGGCCCAGACUCCUACGGGAGGCAGCAGUGGGGAAUAUUGCACAAUGGGCGCAAGCCUGAUGCAGCGACGCCGCGUGAGGGAUGACGGCCUUCGGGUUGUAAACCUCUUUCAGUAGGGAAGAAGCGAAAGUGACGGUACCUGCAGAAGAAGCGCCGGCUAACUACGUGCCAGCAGCCGCGGUAAUACGUAGGGCGCAAGCGUUAUCCGGAAUUAUUGGGCGUAAAGAGCUCGUAGGCGGUUUGUCGCGUCUGCCGUGAAAGUCCGGGGCUCAACUCCGGAUCUGCGGUGGGUACGGGCAGACUAGAGUGAUGUAGGGGAGACUGGAAUUCCUGGUGUAGCGGUGAAAUGCGCAGAUAUCAGGAGGAACACCGAUGGCGAAGGCAGGUCUCUGGGCAUUAACUGACGCUGAGGAGCGAAAGCAUGGGGAGCGAACAGG
RNAcentral lists this ribosomal RNA (706 nucleotides) under Arthrobacter sp. RNAcentral's name for it is "bacterial SSU rRNA". It matches the Rfam family "Bacterial small subunit ribosomal RNA", at positions 56 to 776 of the family's 1533-position model. Lineage: Bacteria; Bacillati; Actinomycetota; Actinomycetes; Micrococcales; Micrococcaceae. The record is from RNAcentral.